Molecule: long non-coding RNA, 647 nt
Filed under: Nicotiana benthamiana
Lineage: Eukaryota; Viridiplantae; Streptophyta; Magnoliopsida; Solanales; Solanaceae
Description: long non-coding RNA (NBEN_LNC025622)
Source: RNAcentral
GUUUCACGAAUCACGCCUCUCUAUAUAUUCAUAGCGACACACACUUCCCUCAUCCCUUGUGUGUGAGAGAGAAAACAAAACCCCAAUUUCACAAAACACAAAACUCACCGCCACCUUCUUUCUUCUCCAUAGCCAUAUCCACUCACUCAUACACACACACACAUCUCUCUCACUCACUCAAAUCGCCAUGGCUGCGGAGCAAGCUCAACUGGCUGCAAUCCUUGGACCAGAUUCAGCACCCUUUGAAACCCUUAUCUCUCAUCUCAUGUCCGCUUCCAACGAGCAACGGUCCCAAGCCGAGUCGGUUUUCAAUCUCAUCAAGCAAAAUGAUCCGAAUUCACUUGCUCUCAAGCUCGCCAACGUCCUCACCUCUUCCCCGCACCAGGAAGCUCGGGCCAUGUCAACAAUCCUCUUACGAAAGCUCCUCACGCGUGACGACUCGUUCAUUUGGCCCAAACUCACCGAGUCGGCACUCGCUCUCAAGCUCGCCAACGUCCUCACCUCUUCCCCGCACCAGGAAGCUCGGGCCAUGUCAACAAUCCUCUUACGAAAGCUCCUCACGCGUGACGACUCGUUCAUUUGGCCCAAACUCACCGAGUCGACUCAGUCAGGGAUUAAAACUGUGCUCCUCGCAUGCAUCCAGCGCG